CUAACAAGGAUUCCCCUAGNAACUGCGAGUGAAGCGGGAAGAGCUCAAAUUUAAAAUCUGGCGUCCUCUGG
RNAcentral lists this ribosomal RNA (71 nucleotides) under uncultured Tomentella. RNAcentral's name for it is "28S ribosomal RNA". Lineage: Eukaryota; Fungi; Basidiomycota; Agaricomycetes; Thelephorales; Thelephoraceae. The record is from RNAcentral.